GACGAACGCUUGCGGCGUGCUUAACACAUGCAAGUCGAACGGAAAGGCCCUGCUUUUGUGGGGUGCUCGAGUGGCGAACGGGUGAGUAACACGUGAGUAACCUGCCCUUGACUUUGGGAUAACUUCAGGAAACUGGGGCUAAUACCGGAUAGGAGCUCCUGCUGCAUGGUGGGGGUUGGAAAGUUUCGGCGGUUGGGGAUGGACUCGCGGCUUAUCAGCUUGUUGGUGGGGUAGUGGCUUACCAAGGCUUUGACGGGUAGCCGGCCUGAGAGGGUGACCGGCCACAUUGGGACUGAGAUACGGCCCAGACUCCUACGGGAGGCAGCAGUGGGGAAUAUUGCACAAUGGGCGGAAGCCUGAUGCAGCAACGCCGCGUGCGGGAUGACGGCCUUCGGGUUGUAAACCGCUUUCGCCUGUGACGAAGCGUGAGUGACGGUAAUGGGUAAAGAAGCACCGGCUAACUACGUGCCAGCAGCCGCGGUGAUACGUAGGGUGCGAGCGUUGUCCGGAUUUAUUGGGCGUAAAGGGCUCGUAGGUGGUUGAUCGCGUCGGAAGUGUAAUCUCGGGGCUUAACCCUGAGCGUGCUUUCGAUACGGGUUGACUUGAGGAAGGUAGGGGAGAAUGGAAUUCCUGGUGGAGCGGUGGAAUGCGCAGAUAUCAGGAGGAACACCAGUGGCGAAGGCGGUUCUCUGGGCCUUUCCUGACGCUGAGGAGCGAAAGCGUGGGGAGCGAACAGGCUUAGAUACCCUGGUAGUCCACGCUGUAAACGGUGGGUACUAGGUGUGGGGUCCAUUCCACGGGUUCCGUGCCGUAGCUAACGCUUUAAGUACCCCGCCUGGGGAGUACGGCCGCAAGGCUAAAACUCAAAGGAAUUGACGGGGCCCCGCACAAGCGGCGGAGCAUGCGGAUUAAUUCGAUGCAACGCGUAGAACCUUACCUGGGUUUGACAUGGAUCGGGAGUGCUCAGAGAUGGGUGUGCCUCUUUUGGGGUCGGUUCACAGGUGGUGCAUGGCUGUCGUCAGCUCGUGUCGUGAGAUGUUGGGUUAAGUCCCGCAACGGGCGCAACCCUUGUUCACUGUUGCCAGCACGUUAUGGUGGGGACUCAGUGGAGACCGCCGGGGUCAACUCGGAGGAAGGUGGGGAUGACGUCAAGUCAUCAUGCCCCUUAUGUCCAGGGCUUCACGCAUGCUACAAUGGCUGGUACAGAGAGUGGCGAGCCUGUGAGGGUGAGCGAAUCUCGGAAAGCCGGUCUCAGUUCGGAUUGGGGUCUGCAACUCGACCUCAUGAAGUCGGAGUCGCUAGUAAUCGCAGAUCAGCAACGCUGCGGUGAAUACGUUCCCGGG
RNAcentral lists this ribosomal RNA (1343 nucleotides) under uncultured bacterium. RNAcentral's name for it is "16S ribosomal RNA". It matches the Rfam family "Bacterial small subunit ribosomal RNA", at positions 28 to 1378 of the family's 1533-position model. The record is from RNAcentral.